RNAcentral lists this ribosomal RNA (497 nucleotides) under uncultured bacterium. Its description in RNAcentral is "partial 16S ribosomal RNA". It matches the Rfam family "Bacterial small subunit ribosomal RNA", at positions 28 to 507 of the family's 1533-position model. The record is from RNAcentral.
GAUGAACGCUGGCGGCGUGCCUAAUACAUGCAAGUCGAGCGAACAGACGAGGAGCUUGCUCCUCUGACGUUAGCGGCGGACGGGUGAGUAACACGUGGAUAACCUACCUAUAAGACUGGGAUAACUUCGGGAAGCCGGAGCUAAUACCGGAUAAUAUUUUGAACCGCAUGGUUCAAUAGUGAAAGACGGUUUUGCUGUCACUUAUAGAUGGAUCCGCGCCGCAUUAGCUAGUUGGUAAGGUAACGGCUUACCAAGGCAACGAUGCGUAGCCGACCUGAGAGGGUGAUCGGCCACACUGGAACUGAGACACGGUCCAGACUCCUACGGGAGGCAGCAGUAGGGAAUCUUCCGCAAUGGGCGAAAGCCUGACGGAGCAACGCCGCGUGAGUGAUGAAGGUCUUCGGAUCGUAAAACUCUGUUAUUAGGGAAGAACAAAUGUGUAAGUAACUAUGCACGUCUUGACGGUACCUAAUCAGAAAGCCACGGCUAACUACGUG